UCUAUCAUCUGAUUGAACAGAGAAUUGGUACUUGUGAACCUGGUAGAUCCUCAAACGGGUUGCGGGACCAGAAAGAAACACGGGCUCAACAAUUGUCGCGUGGGUCAAAAGUUGCAAGGUUUACACCAGAAGAAAGACCAAGAGGAAAAGUGUUAGUGACUGAUUAGUGGACUGUGAUGAAUGUAUGGGAAAAGGAGGGUCGUGAUGAGGGGGAAUCUUAGUGUAUCAUUCUGUUAGAUAAGUCCGCAAAUCUGCUCGUUGCUGGGGAAAAAAGAAAUCAUCUAGUUCAGUGGUUUUUCUGCUGCAUAAGCAGGAUGGAGUAUGGAAGCAACUGUGGAAUAAGUUGGACGUAUUUGAUGGCUUCAGAAAAUGUUGAGUGAUAAAUUCUGCUAGCUGCAUCAAGUAAUUGUUGUCUCGUUUGGUACGGAGUGGAGUUGGAGAAAUAAUUUUAUAUAUUUCAAAGCUCCUAGAAGUUGACAAAAGUAAGCAAAUAUUUCUUUAAAAAUGAAUUAAGAGCACACCAGAUGUUGGAAGAUCUGAGGUGAUUCUCAACGUGAGGGUUUGUUUGUAAGUUAUGGUUACAUGUACAGCCUAUUGAUUUCUAGAUAAAUAAAUUCUUUUAGCCUA
Long non-coding RNA from Vigna angularis (adzuki bean), 627 nucleotides. RefSeq lists it as uncharacterized. The transcript has 2 exons. NCBI's taxonomy places the organism in Eukaryota, Viridiplantae, Streptophyta, Magnoliopsida, Fabales, Fabaceae. The record is from RefSeq and is a predicted model, not a curated record.